GUGGGGAAUCUUGCGCAAUGGGCGAAAGCCUGACGCAGCCAUGCCGCGUGGAUGAUGAAGGUCUUAGGAUUGUAAAAUCCUUUCACCGGUGAAGAUAAUGACUGUAGCCGGAGAAGAAGCCCCGGCUAACUUCGUGCCAGCAGCCGCGGUAAUACGAAGGGGGCUAGCGUUGCUCGGAAUUACUGGGCGUAAAGGGAGCGUAGGCGGACAUUUAAGUCAGGGGUGAAAUCCCGAGGCUCAACCUCGGAACUGCCUUUGAUACUGGGUGUCUUGAGUGUGAGAGAGGUGAGUGGAACUCCGAGUGUAGAGGUGAAAUUCGUAGAUAUUCGGAAGAACACCAGUGGCGAAGGCGACUCACUGGCUCAUUACUGACGCUGAGGCUCGAAAGCGUGGGGAGCAAACAGGAUUAGAUACCCCGGUAGUCC
RNAcentral lists this ribosomal RNA (425 nucleotides) under uncultured bacterium. RNAcentral's name for it is "partial 16S ribosomal RNA". It matches the Rfam family "Bacterial small subunit ribosomal RNA", at positions 354 to 796 of the family's 1533-position model. The record is from RNAcentral.